ACAACAGAUUUAUUAUACGUAUUAAUUUUGUAAAAGCAAAGCGAUAGCAGACAGCGCAAAUCUGACAGAACAUUUUGACAUUUUGUGUUGAGGUGCGUUCCGAGCGUACGUAACAAAAUUCAUAUUUAGAAUUCCUUUCAUACCAUAGUGUUUUUUUUUUAUUUAUUGUGACUUUGGCGAAAGCCAUCAGCCAAAUACCAUAGUGUAUAGUGUAUACCAAAUCAUGUUAUGUUGGUGCAAUAAAGUGUUAAAUAAAUAAAUAAAUAAAUACCACAGAUAAUCGUAACAUACGAACGCUUAGUAACUAAUUGUUUUAAAAUUGUUGACGAUUUUUCAUAGAAAAUAUCAUCAAACUUUACACUAGUCCAUUUAUUUCGCUUCCAAUUCAAAAAAAAAAAAAAAAAACGAAACAUAAGGUUAUCGUUUGCGAAGUCUCUAUAAUAUUUGUUUACAAUAAAUUAUUACCACAAAUACGUACCUAAUUGCUCAUUUGGCUACAAGUUUGAAAACAAAAUAUAGUAUUUCGGUCGUAAAGUCAUAAUGGCAUUUUGUUUCCAAUAAAUUGUUUAUAUUUGCUAUUGCAUUACAACAAUAAGCGCCGUUGUGUAUCAAGAAGUAGCAGACGUCCUAAAUAUGAAGCAAUGAACCAAUGGAACUACGAAAUAAAGCCAAUAACUUACAUAAAUAAUGAAGGAACUAUCUGUUUGGAAUCCAAUUUCAGCUAAGAAAAACGGUCAAGAAACUCUUGUUGUUUACGCUUUUUUUUUACAAAUAAUUAGUUUGUAAAAAAAUAUAUGAAUGGAUACAAUGACUGUCAUAAAUUUCAUAUACAUAGAUAUUACAAUUGAUUGUAUUUUUUAUCUAUGUAUAGAUAAAAACUAGAAUCAAUCAAUAAAUCGAUAAUCAGUCGCACUAUUCUCGAACGGACCAGUCUGUACAAGAAGCACUCGUUUAAGAUUUAAGCGAGCCCAACGACUCGGCCCACCACGCCACCUCCAGUCUGGACUAACGAUGCUCGAAUCCAAAUGAUUUUAUUAUUCGAAUAAUUAGUAAUUACUAGUUUUAUAAUUCGACUACUAAAUUAGUAAAAUACUAAUUUCCGUAUUGCAAUUAUUUUACUAAUUACUAACUAAUAAUUCCCUGUAUCUGCUACUACCAAGUCCAUUCCUCGCAUCUUCUACUACUAUAAUACUAUGUCGGUGAUAACAACCUACGACCAUAAAAAAAACGUAAAUACAGUAGUCGCACGACAGGACGACAUUAGUCUAAAUGAUUUGAAAAUCAUUUGAAUAAUUCGAAUGAUUUGAAAAUCAUUUCAAUAACCCGAAUGAUUUGCUCACUCGAAUAAUUAGAAGUCGGAUUAGUAAAGUCGCGCAUCCCCAGUCUGGACAUAAUAGUGAGCAUGACUUGCUUCCAGAUACGCGACUAUGUCAAAAAAUAUAAUAGUUUUGUAUAAUGUUAACUAUUUCGAAGUCACUCAUAUACAAUGGUGAAAUAACAGGGGGCGGAAUGGUCGGCCCGCUUCUGGUUCUGAGGGGCCUGCAAUCGCCUCUAUUUCCCUUACCCAUAUCUAUAUUCUAUAUAUAUAUAUUUAUUUAAGUCUAAUUUAGCUUGUAAGUGUUUAACUAAAUAAACAAAAACACUUAUAUGUAUAAAUAUAAAUUGAAUAAAAAGAUUGCCAAAUUAAAUCAACUUCUUAUACUUGGGACUCAUUCAGUUUUGUCGCUUCGUAUCUCUGUCAGAAUUGAAUCCACCACUGCCUCUAUCGUAUUCCUUUGCUGUUGAACCUCUAGUUACUCCAUAAUAUAUUUGUAUACCUGUUUAGUAAUAGUAGUAGGAAAACAUUUUAAAAUAAUUAGCUUAAAAUAUAAAAUACACGCAAUUAAUUAUUAUAUCUAAAUUUAGUUUAAUUGGCAAUUAGCAAUUGUUAAAUAUUUGUUUCCUCAAAAAAAAUGGCAUCGUAAAUAUUAUAUGUUAACGGUUCUUAUCUUCUUAUCGGUAAAAAUACCGCUUCCCUUUUUAAUAGUUUUUUAUGCCCCUAGCGCUUGACUUAAAUUGGUUACUUAUAAAGUAUCAUUAUUUUUUUUUAUUUCUU
This is a long non-coding RNA of Galleria mellonella (greater wax moth), 2095 nucleotides long. RefSeq lists it as uncharacterized. Lineage: Eukaryota; Metazoa; Arthropoda; Insecta; Lepidoptera; Pyralidae. The record is from RefSeq and is a predicted model, not a curated record. The transcript is spliced from 3 exons.